UGCGUAGGCGGCUAAGUAAGUCAGAGGUGAAAGUCUGCAGCUCAACUGUAGGAUUGCCUUUGAUACUGCGUAGCUUGAAUGAGGUUGAGGUCAGCGGAAUGUGACAUGUAGCGGUGAAAUGCAUAGAUAUGUCAUAGAACACCGAUUGCGAAGGCAGCUGGCUGGACCUGAAUUGACGCUGAGGUACGAAAGCGUGGGGAGCGAACAGGAUUAGAUACCCUGGUAGUCC
RNAcentral lists this ribosomal RNA (229 nucleotides) under uncultured bacterium. RNAcentral describes it as "partial 16S ribosomal RNA". It matches the Rfam family "Bacterial small subunit ribosomal RNA", at positions 568 to 796 of the family's 1533-position model. The record is from RNAcentral.